This 200-nucleotide ribosomal RNA is filed under the name uncultured bacterium. RNAcentral's name for it is "partial 16S ribosomal RNA". It matches the Rfam family "Bacterial small subunit ribosomal RNA", at positions 8 to 213 of the family's 1533-position model. The record is from RNAcentral.
AGAGUUUGAUCAUGGCUCAGGAUAAACGCUGGCGGCGUGCUUUAAGCAUGCAAGUCGAACGGACGGGCUUCGGCCCGUCAGUGGCAGACGGCUGAGGAAGACGGAAGGAACCUGCCCUUCGGAGGGGGAUAACCCCGCGAAAGCGGGGCUAAGACCGCGUACGCUCGGGGCGGGCAGCGUGCCCCGAGGAAAGCCGCGAG